ACCCUUGUGGAGGAGGACGCCGAAGGUGGGGCUAAUGACUGGGGUGAAGUCGUAACAAGGUAGCCGUACCGGAAGGUGCGGCUGGAUCACCUCCUAACAGGGAGACAACAAAAUGUUUAAUAUUAUUAUUUUGUCACCUUAGGUCGAUCGGUAUCUCACGUUCUUAAUUUAUUAAGAAUUUCAUUUCCUAAGUUUUUCUAGGUCACACCCAUUAUUUUCCUGGGCCAUUAGCUCAGGUGGUUAGAGCGCACCCCUGAUAAGGGUGAGGUCCCUGGUUCAAGUCCAGGAUGGCCCAUAUCUCUAUGUUGGGGGUAUAGCUCAGUUGGUAGAGCGCCUGCUUUGCAAGCAGGAUGUCAGCGGUUCGAGUCCGCUUACCUCCACUGAUUACCACCUCUUCCAUAAUCUGUAGAAAGGAAAAUUUUUUGAGUUGUGAUCAUCAUUCUGAACGAAUCUAGCUUCCUAAUGAAAUUAUUAAGAUGCUGGACUCAUUGAAUUAAUUUCAUUGUUUUCAGAGAACCUUGACAACUGCAUAGAUUAUUUUUAAAGACAAUAAGCAUCUUUAAUGAUGCAGAUUUAUUAUUUGUGCAAAUGCAUUAAUAACAAUUCUAUUAAGCUGAUGCUUCAAUUAUGAAGUUAUUGGUCAAGCUACAAAGGGCUCACGGAGGAUACCUAGGCACACAGAGGC
RNAcentral lists this unclassified non-coding RNA (685 nucleotides) under uncultured Prochlorococcus sp. RNAcentral's name for it is "partial may contain 16S ribosomal RNA, 16S-23S ribosomal RNA intergenic spacer, and 23S ribosomal RNA". The stretch from base 1 to 97 matches the Rfam family "Bacterial small subunit ribosomal RNA", at positions 1437 to 1533 of the family's 1533-position model. The record is from RNAcentral. Lineage: Bacteria; Bacillati; Cyanobacteriota; Cyanophyceae; Synechococcales; Prochlorococcaceae.